UUAGCGGCGGACGGGUGAGUAACACGUGGAUAACCUACCUAUAAGACUGGGAUAACUUCGGGAAACCGGAGCUAAUACCGGAUAACAUGUUGAACCGCAUGGUUCAACAGUGAAAGACGGUCUUGCUGUCACUUAUAGAUGGAUCCGCGCCGCAUUAGCUAGUUGGUAAGGUAACGGCUUACCAAGGCAACGAUGCGUAGCCGACCUGAGAGGGUGAUCGGCCACACUGGAACUGAGACACGGUCCACACGG
RNAcentral lists this ribosomal RNA (252 nucleotides) under Staphylococcus capitis. RNAcentral describes it as "partial 16S ribosomal RNA". It matches the Rfam family "Bacterial small subunit ribosomal RNA", at positions 92 to 338 of the family's 1533-position model. Lineage: Bacteria; Bacillati; Bacillota; Bacilli; Caryophanales; Staphylococcaceae. The record is from RNAcentral.